This 72-nucleotide transfer RNA is filed under the name Heterocephalus glaber (naked mole-rat). It matches the Rfam family "tRNA". From Rfam's summary of the family: Transfer RNA (tRNA) molecules are approximately 80 nucleotides in length. Their secondary structure includes four short double-helical elements and three loops (D, anti-codon, and T loops). Further hydrogen bonds mediate the characteristic L-shaped molecular structure. tRNAs have two regions of fundamental functional importance: the anti-codon, which is responsible for specific mRNA codon recognition, and the 3' end, to which the tRNAs corresponding amino acid is attached (by aminoacyl-tRNA synthetases). tRNAs cope with the degeneracy of the genetic code in two manners: having more than one tRNA (with a specific anti-codon) for a particular amino acid; and 'wobble' base-pairing, i.e. permitting non-standard base-pairing at the 3rd anti-codon position. The record is from Rfam by way of RNAcentral. Lineage: Eukaryota; Metazoa; Chordata; Mammalia; Rodentia; Bathyergidae.
UGGGGUGUGGCUCAGUGGGAGAGCACUUGUCUAGCAUGUGCAAGGUCCUGGGUUCCAUGCCCAGCACCACGG